Notolabrus celidotus (New Zealand spotty) is the source of this 1370-nucleotide long non-coding RNA. RefSeq lists it as uncharacterized. Lineage: Eukaryota; Metazoa; Chordata; Actinopteri; Labriformes; Labridae. The transcript is spliced from 4 exons. The record is from RefSeq and is a predicted model, not a curated record.
ACCCCCCAGGGGGUCUCGACCCACACGAACCCCUGUGCUAGACUGACACAAAGGCCAUACCACCACAUAGAGUUAUUUAUACAGCCUGUGAGAGUUACGCGUUACAUUUCGGCUGGCACUGGGAGGAUGCAUUGAACCUUAUUCUGACUAAAUGAUCCCCGUUUGAAACAUAUCGAGUAUACAGUUGACCAGAGGAGAAGUGGACUCUACAGGCGUGUUUCCACCUUUAAAUACGGACCUUUUGUUUUGACAGCAACAUGUGACGUGUGUAUGACGCACACAGCCUGGCUAACCACUAACCCAACUCGUGCUCCAGGGGAAACUUUACAACAGCCGCAUGUGAAGCUUCAGAGGGAUCCAGGCAGAUUCCCCCGACCUGAGAGCAUUACAGAAGCAUCCUGCAGACUACUUACCGACUAACCUCAUUACAUCACAGGCUUUUAGCUUCUUCAGCAGAAGCACAGCCUCCUUGGUCUUCUUGUAUCCCUCAACGUUGUCCUCUACCACCAGUGGGACCUCAGGGAUCUCCUCAUCGCAGGGACAGAUCCAGACCUUUUCAAAGGGCAUGGCUCUAAUGGGGGCUCUGACUAAUGUUGGGUUGGCAUGAAGUUUGUGUGAACUUGGAACAUGAAUGAACCCACUUCAACUACUAACAAUGAAGUAUCUUGUAGAAGUUUUAUUCCUGUGUAUUACUUUUUUAUCAGAGUGUUAUUUCAUAAAUCUUCUAAGCUUAAUUCUUUAAAGACUCAAAAGACGACAUAGACUUCAAAGUCACAUUAACACGUGCAAAUUUUCUUCAGUCCAGUUACAACCAUUCUGAUUAUAAAUUCCAACUUCACUGUUAACUUGGAUGCUAAAUAAGAUGGUCUGAUUGAGGUGAGUUUGUGCAUGCAUCAAGGAUUUCAUCAAAAGAAAGCCAUUUUGACAUGUGCAGAGUUGUUCCAGCAGUCUGAUGUGCCUUUAUGUGAAAUAGCAGAAGUAAAUGUUUCUUCUGCCUAAAUGCUGCCGUCACUGUGUCAUGCACAUUAGUGGUUCUCAAAGUGGGGGUCAUAAGACACUAAUGGGGGGUUGCAAAACUUCCUCCAGAAUGUUUUUUUUAAAGUAAUCUAAAACAGCAUAUUUGACUAAUCAUUGUAAAUAGAAACAAAUUUGAAAUACAGCCUAGCAAAUAAAAAAUAUAGCAUAGCCAUAUGUGCAUGCAGGUGGCAAAUUUUCUGCAGACCAGCUAAAUGAAAUAUGAAGCAGAAUUUAACCACCUCAAGGGACAAUAAGCACGUCUUUGACACUCUUAUUUUGGAGGUCGGGGGCUGAAAAGUUUGUGAACCCCUGCUGUACAUAGUUUGUUACAAAUAAAGUUUUAAAAAAUCUGA